CGGAGAGUUUGAUCCUGGCUCAGAUUGAACGCUGGCGGCAUGCCUUACACAUGCAAGUCGAACGGCAGCACGGAGCUUGCUCUGGUGGCGAGUGGCGAACGGGUGAGUAAUAUAUCGGAACGUACCCUGGAGUGGGGGAUAACGUAGCGAAAGUUACGCUAAUACCGCAUACGAUCUACGGAUGAAAGUGGGGGAUCGCAAGACCUCAUGCUCGUGGAGCGGCCGAUAUCUGAUUAGCUAGUUGGUAGGGUAAAAGCCUACCAAGGCAUCGAUCAGUAGCUGGUCCGAGAGGACGACCAGCCACACUGGAACUGAGACACGGUCCAGACUCCUACGGGAGGCAGCAGUGGGGAAUUUUGGACAAUGGGCGAAAGCCUGAUCCAGCAAUGCCGCGUGAGUGAAGAAGGCCUUCGGGUUGUAAAGCUCUUUUGUCAGGGAAGAAACGGUGAGGGCUAAUAUCUCUUGCUAAUGACGGUACCUGAAGAAUAAGCACCGGCUAACUACGUGCCAGCAGCCGCGGUAAUACGUAGGGUGCAAGCGUUAAUCGGAAUUACUGGGCGUAAAGCGUGCGCAGGCGGUUUUGUAAGUCUGAUGUGAAAUCCCCGGGCUCAACCUGGGAAUUGCAUUGGAGACUGCAAGGCU
Molecule: ribosomal RNA, 642 nt
Filed under: uncultured bacterium
Lineage: Bacteria
Description: bacterial SSU rRNA
Rfam family: Bacterial small subunit ribosomal RNA
Source: RNAcentral